This is a long non-coding RNA of Nematostella vectensis (starlet sea anemone), 1160 nucleotides long. RefSeq lists it as uncharacterized. NCBI's taxonomy places the organism in Eukaryota, Metazoa, Cnidaria, Anthozoa, Actiniaria, Edwardsiidae. The record is from RefSeq and is a predicted model, not a curated record. The transcript is spliced from 2 exons.
GCUCCCGCAAACCUAAAGCUUUAGCUCAAUAUUUGUUGGCCAAACAUAAACACAUUUGCGUUGGGUUCUCGUGAGAGUUUUGGCGUGGAUUUAUACAACAGCUCUAGUGCGUGGCCUGAUAACUCACGGCCUCUAUUGAUUCAGCCAAGUCUGUGAUGUACAACUCUUUUAAGAUGCCGCCUCCUUAUUGGCAUCCAAUCAGCGAGGGCCUACCGGUCUCUUUGACAAAGAUGAUUGAAUGAUAGGGAUUUGUUGACAUAUAAUAAGUUUCUUCAAAUGGAACUAUUAUUCUAAACCAAUCUUUACGGACAAGACAAAAGAGAGCUAUCGGGAGCGGGCGGCAUGGACUCUCGAGUUUGACGAAAUCUGUGACACUUAGAAGAUAGUUUACCUCUUAGCACCUGUGCGAGAGCCCCGCUAAUCUAUUACUUUAGCCGGAAAAAACUACAUAGUAAAGCUUGAGUCUGUUCGUACUUCACGCCUCUCGAUUGUUAACGGAAGUUCUAAUCGUCGGUUUGAAGUCGGUAUAAUAAUAGUGGUGAAAACACACCAUUCAUACUCGGGGCCCGGUCGCCAUGACCCUAACUCACGGGCUUAGUGCAUUUCUAUGUACGAAUAGCACCCUUCAGGUAAUUGGAUCUGCACCCUAGUGGGUGUUUGACUCGAGAGAGGGGGCGUUCAGGGUACGUUUAGGGGCGUUUGAUGGGACGGCUCGUAAUAGUGGCACCAUCAAGCUAGAUGAACGUUCCUGUCUCUUCAAAGCAUGGCUUACCGACAGAACCAGUCAGCCGUAUGUAAGCCCUUCGCUGCAUUCAAAUACACACAGCACAAUGCGAAGACAAUACGAGCUUAUUGUUGAGCACAAGCGUGGACAUGAUUACCAGCCUGAUUCUAUAGCUUAUUCAUUAGCUAUUGAAGCUUAAUCUUGCCGACUCCAUUUUUUAGAAAACGCUCUCUACUCGAGUAAUUUCUGCGCUGGACUUCAGAUUCCAGCUGGGAGAGGGAUGCGUAGUUUAUCUAAAGUAUAAUAGUCUCAGAUAAUACGCGAACAUGAUUCGCUCUAUGGGGUCCACCGUUUGCUCAGUGUGUGUUGAUCGUUUACAUGCUGAGUCGAUUUUUUUUACCAAGCAGCUAUUAAACGUCUCUUGUCUUUUUGUUUA